Molecule: ribosomal RNA, 497 nt
Filed under: uncultured bacterium
Lineage: Bacteria
Description: partial 16S ribosomal RNA
Rfam family: Bacterial small subunit ribosomal RNA
Source: RNAcentral
GAUGAACGCUGGCGGCGUGCCUAAUACAUGCAAGUCGAGCGAACAGACGAGGAGCUUGCUCCUCUGACGUUAGCGGCGGACGGGUGAGUAACACGUGGAUAACCUACCUAUAAGACUGGGAUAACUUCGGGAAACCGGAGCUAAUACCGGAUAAUAUAUUGAACCGCAUGGUUCAAUAGUGAAAGACGGUUUUGCUGUCACUUAUAGAUGGAUCCGCGCCGCAUUAGCUGGUUGGGAAGGUAACGGCUUACCAAGGCGACGAUGCGUAGCCGACCUGAGAGGGUGAUCGGCCACCCUGGAACUGAGACACGGUCCAGACUCCUACGGGAGGCCGCAGUCGGGAAUCUUCCGCAGUGGGCGAGAGCAUGACGGAGCAGCGCCGCGUGAGUGAUGACGGUCUUCGGAUCGUAAUACUCUGUUAUUGGGUAAAAACAAAUGUGUAAGUAACUAUGCACGUCUUGACGGUACCUAGUCAGAAAGCCACGGCUAACUACGUG